GAUGAGAACGCAGCGAAAUGCGAUAAGUAAUGUGAAUUGCAGAAUUCAGUGAAUCAUCGAAUCUUUGAACGCACAUUGCGCCCGCCAGCACUCUGGCGGGCAUGCCUGUUCGAGCGUCAUUUCAACCAUCAAGCCCCCAUGGGCUUGUGCUGGGGCCCUGCGGCUGCCCGCAGGCCCUGAAAACCAGUGGCGGGCUCGCUAGUCACACCGAGCGCAGUAGCACAUCUCGCUCAGGGCGUGCGGCGGGCUCCUGCCGUGAAACCCCCCACUGUAACCCCAAAGGUUGACCUCGGAUCAGGUAGGAAUACCCGCUGAACUUAAGCAUAUCAAUAAGCGGAGGA
Molecule: unclassified non-coding RNA, 341 nt
Filed under: soil metagenome
Description: partial contains 5.8S ribosomal RNA, internal transcribed spacer 2, and large subunit ribosomal RNA
Rfam family: 5.8S ribosomal RNA (bases 5-119)
Source: RNAcentral